AUGCGGCCUUGCAGCCUUGCCGAGGCCUUCCGGCCCGGUGCCCGGCCAGUCCAUGGCGCGAUGCAGCCUCCCACAGCCGGACGAGCUCAAGCCCGACCGGAUCCGCUCCAAAUCCGGCCGACGGGUGUGCAAAUCAGGUGGUCGUGGUUGGGUAGCUCGGGAGCUUCGAGGGAAAGAGCUAGGCGAGCGCGCGUCGAGCUGCACAGCUACAAAUGGCAGCGGCGACGGCGAGGGGCAAGAGUGGAGGGUGUUGAACAUACUAGUCCUUGUAUAUUGUGUAACUCGACCCACCUCCUAGUCCUUGUAUAG
This 309-nucleotide ribosomal RNA is filed under the name Triticum aestivum (bread wheat). RNAcentral describes it as "partial small subunit ribosomal RNA". The record is from RNAcentral. Lineage: Eukaryota; Viridiplantae; Streptophyta; Magnoliopsida; Poales; Poaceae.